Molecule: long non-coding RNA, 650 nt
Filed under: Brachypodium distachyon (stiff brome)
Lineage: Eukaryota; Viridiplantae; Streptophyta; Magnoliopsida; Poales; Poaceae
Description: long non-coding RNA (BDIS_LNC002261)
Source: RNAcentral
CCUCCUCCGGCUUCGGGUGCUCCGCAUGCGUCGCCGGCAGCACAUCCUCGCCGUCGAAGUACAGUGCCGCCGCACACGCGGAGGACGCUGACGAGCCGUCGUCGUUUUGGCCAAACAUCCGCCGAUUCCAUUUUCUUCUCUCCGGAUGGCGGGCGGCGUGCAGGUGCAGGUGGCGGAUCAACUCGCGGUGCCGGCGUGCCCGUGUUAGUUGCUGAUUUCGUUUUUCUUUUAUUUUAUUUUUUGGAAUGAAAACGUCCGUUUGCCGAAGGAAAGUCACCUUCUGACUUCUCUUCUUCACGUUAGAGGAUCCGGAUCCCAGCCCUAAGUGCCCAACACAGCAGAAUAUGUAUCACGUAUUGUUACACCGUUGAACCACGUACACGUGAAAUAUAGAUCUCUCCGAUUCGUAAAAAGUGUCGCCCAAUACAAAAUAGACGAAACGUUUUAUGAGUCGAAGGGAGUAUUUGAAUUUUGAGACUACUCGCAUCUCACCAAUGAUAGGGUUUUAAAAAAGGUUGUAACACUGGUGCCUGCUUGCCAUGAUGAUCGGUCUUGAGCAACUUACUCAUCUGUUCUGUUCUUCUGUAUCUGGUUCCUGGUGCCUGGCUGUAACACUUGUAAGGUUGUAACUUUUUUUUUCGAACCGGAGU